AUUGAACGCUGGCGGCAUGCUUUACACAUGCAAGUCGAACGGCAGCGCGGGCUUCGGCCUGGCGGCGAGUGGCGAACGGGUGAGUAAUGCAUCGGAACGGGCCCAGUAGUGGGGGAUAGCCCGGCGAAAGCCGGAUUAAUACCGCAUACGACCUGAGGGUGAAAGCGGGGGACCGAAAGGCCUCGCGCUAUUGGAGCGGCCGAUGUCGGAUUAGCUAGGUGGUGGGGUAAAGGCUUACCAAGGCGACGAUCCGUAGCUGGUCUGAGAGGACGACCAGCCACACUGCGACUGCGACACGGCCCAGACUCCUACGGGAGGCAGCAGUGGGGAAUUUUGGACCAUGGGGGCAACCCUGCUCCAGCCAUGCCGCGUGCGGGAAGAAGGCCUUCUGGUUGUAAACCGCUUUUGUUCGGGAAGAAAUCCUCUGGGCUAAUACCCCGGGGGGAUGACGGUACCGGAAGAAUAAGCACCGGCUAACUACGUG
Molecule: ribosomal RNA, 484 nt
Filed under: uncultured bacterium
Lineage: Bacteria
Description: partial 16S ribosomal RNA
Rfam family: Bacterial small subunit ribosomal RNA
Source: RNAcentral